CGCGGGUUUGAUUCCCACCUUGUCAGGCUAACUUUUCAGCCUGCCCGGUGUGGAUAUACACUCAGAGUAACAUCAAAAACAUUAUAUUCUGUUUAGUUACGAUUUUGUGAUUUAAUAAUUUUAUACAAUGUUAUGUAUUCAUUAUGUACCAGUAUUGGUAUUUUGUUAUGAAUAAAGUUAUUAUUACUGUUAUUAUAUAGAAUAUUGAAUAUUCCUUUAAUAAUAAGACCCCCUCCCCAGCCUCCGGUAAAAUAUGUUGCUUCCUCCGUGAAGAUCACUUUUGUUUAGAAUAUAAGCAAGAGCAAAAUAUAAUUUAGUUAGAAUAAGUGUUUUAUCUGACGGAUCAGAAAUAGUGAUCCCAAGUGAGGCUCAAAAAAAUGCGAACGUAACAACCCUAUGACAGAUCGGCCCCAAGAAAGGGAACGUGCAGACAAUGAGAACAAGGGAAUGUUGUGAUCUUGAUAUAGUCUAUAUUAGCAUGCAGGUACAUAUUAUAGAUACAUAUUAUGGAUUAUAUUGUCUACAAGUGUUUAUUUGAUAUGAAAACUCUGAUAAAUUACCUCACUUGACAAAGCUAAUACUCAUUUCCCUGGUAUCCUAGUGUCUUGCUCUGUAGUACGUUCUGGGGUCGGUUGUAUAAAACUCGUAACACUUUUUUAUCACUAUUUUGUAGUUAAAUAGUGAUUAACUCUCAGAUAGGCGCUUCUUAUUGGAUGACGUUUCCACUUAACCAUAGUUAACUUUAAUCACUUUUUUAUACAACCAGCCCCAGCUAUUGUAUUUGAGUAUUGGUCGUAUCUUCCUUUAGAAAGGCAUUAGGCUGUGGGCCAUUGUGCGAAAAAGUGCUUAGAAAAGCAAUUUCGUGGCAACCAGGGCAUUUUUUAACUAUAUAACUACUGGGGCAUUUACCCCAGUAGGCCCUUUGCUUACCCUAGUAGUGAAGCAUGAUUUUCAGAUGAGCUGGGCCCUUUGGAUCAUUAGUAAAAAGUCAAUCUUGUUGACUGAAAAUCUGCCUGCUUUCUCAUAUCCUAUCACAUUCUCGACAUUCCAUCUUAUAAUAGUCAGAACAGGCAGGGGCGGCGCUAAAGGGGGGAUGUGAGUUUGGG
This is a non-coding RNA of Paramuricea clavata, 1106 nucleotides long. The record is from the annotation of a GenBank genome assembly. NCBI's taxonomy places the organism in Eukaryota, Metazoa, Cnidaria, Anthozoa, Malacalcyonacea, Plexauridae.